AUUUAUAUAGUUUAAUAAAACAUUACAUUUUCAUUGUAAAAUUAAGGAUACUUUUCUUUAUAAAUA
Molecule: transfer RNA, 66 nt
Filed under: Dacrila fallax
Lineage: Eukaryota; Metazoa; Arthropoda; Insecta; Coleoptera; Staphylinidae
Description: tRNA-Glu
Rfam family: tRNA
About the family: Transfer RNA (tRNA) molecules are approximately 80 nucleotides in length. Their secondary structure includes four short double-helical elements and three loops (D, anti-codon, and T loops).
Source: RNAcentral